AGAGUUUGAUCAUGGCUCAGAACGAACGCUGGCGGCAGGCCUAACACAUGCAAGUCGAACGUGAAGCCACCUUCGGGUGGUGGAAAGUGGCAGACGGGUGAGUAACGCGUGGGAACGUGGCUUUCGGUUCGGAAUAACCCAGGGAAACUUGGGCUAAUACCGGAUACGCCCUUCGGGGGAAAGAUUCAUCGCCGAAAGAUCGGCCCGCGUCGGAUUAGCUAGUUGGUAGGGUAAUGGCCUACCAAGGCGACGAUCCGUAGCUGGUCUGAGAGGAUGACCAGCCACACUGGGACUGAGACACGGCCCAGACUCCUACGGGAGGCAGCAGUGGGGAAUAUUGGACAAUGGGCGAAAGCCUGAUCCAGCCAUGCCGCGUGGGUGAAGAAGGCCUUAGGGUUGUAAACCCCUUUCAGCGGGGAAGAUAAUGACGGUACCCGCAGAAGAAGCCCCGGCUAACUCCGUGCCAGCAGCCGCGGUAAUACGGAGGGGGCUAGCGUUGUUCGGAAUUACUGGGCGUAAAGCGCGCGUAGGCGGACCUGCAAGUCGGGGGUGAAAGCCCGAGGCUCAACCUCGGAACUGCCUUCGAUACUGCGGGUCUCGAGUCCGGGAGAGGUGAGUGGAAUUCCUAGUGUAGAGGUGAAAUUCGUAGAUAUUAGGAAGAACACCAGUGGCGAAGGCGGCUCACUGGCCCGGUACUGACGCUGAGGCGCGAAAGCGUGGGGAGCAAACAGGAUUAGAUACCCUAGUAGUCC
RNAcentral lists this ribosomal RNA (752 nucleotides) under uncultured bacterium. Its description in RNAcentral is "bacterial SSU rRNA". It matches the Rfam family "Bacterial small subunit ribosomal RNA", at positions 8 to 796 of the family's 1533-position model. The record is from RNAcentral.